Molecule: ribosomal RNA, 414 nt
Filed under: uncultured bacterium
Lineage: Bacteria
Description: bacterial SSU rRNA
Rfam family: Bacterial small subunit ribosomal RNA
Source: RNAcentral
UCAGCCGCCGCGGUAAUACGUAGGGAGCGAGCGUUGUCCGAAUUUACUGGGCGUAAAGCGCGCGUAGGCGGGUUCUUAAGUUGGGGGUGAAAUGCCGAGGCUUAACCUCGGAACUGCCUCCAAAACUGGGAGCCUUGAGGUAUGGAGAGGGAAGUGGAAUUCCUGGUGUAGCGGUGAAAUGCGUAGAUAUCAGGAGGAACACCCGUGGCGAAGGCGGCUUCCUGGCCAUAUCCUGACGCUGAGGUGCGAAAGCUAGGGGAGCGAACGGGAUUAGAUACCCCGGUAGUCCUAGCCGUAAACGAUGGAUACUAGGUGUUAGAGGUAUCGACCCCUCUAGUGCCGGAGCUAACGCAUUAAGUAUCCCGCCUGGGGAGUACGACCGCAAGGUUGAAACUUAAAGGAAUUGGCGGGGGA